GCGCGCAGCGGGCGCGGCCGGCGGCAGCGGGAGCACGCCGGAGGACGGGGCUCGGCGCAGGCUGCCCGCUCAGCUGGGAAAAUCCUUUCCGGAUCCUAACAGAGUGAAGAUUUACAAAGAAAAUUCACUGUAUAAACAUCUUGCCCAAGAAAGGGAAGUUCAUCCUUAUUCCAUCUACAGGAUCUGGGUGCCAAGAGAAACAGGAACCCCUUCAUGCUGGCCAAAGUAAUGAUAUACAUUAAGAAACAGUCUCUGAUGGCACCUGUGAUUAAAAUGAACAGUAACUGAAAAUUGAUAGUUCUGGAUCUCACUGUUGAUUUGUUACCAUCUUAGCUUCAUCAGGUGAAAGAAUAAGAUGGUCAAAAUCAGGAGCUCCUUCACACUGCAACCUGGGACUGGUGCCAGCUGCACAAGAUAACAGACAAGAAAUUAGAAAAGAGUAGUAUUAUGGACCAGAUCCACCAAGAAAUUCAGGUGCUGAAGUAUUGAUGCAUUGUGCAUUUGAAAGCUUUGUGUGGGAAAAUAAAUUAGAGCCUGAAAAACUCAUAACUCAGGUAAAGUCCAGUGACACCUUUGCAGGUGAGUAUGCUGGGGUGAAGAACACCAUUACCAAAUUUUGUCAGAAAGCAAUACUUGCUAGAGUUUUUAUGUUGACCCUGAACUGAGAAGCGUGGUCUGAGAACAGCAUUUUGGUACCAGCUACCCAGGUAAGACAGAUUGACUGCUAUCCUCUAUGUAGGCCAUGGUGGGAGGGAGGCCUGAGGAAGGAAGAGAGGAAGGAAAAGAACUGUCCUGCUCUGCCCUGGCAAGCAAGAGAUCUUCUCCAUCUGUAUGGUAGCAAGUAAACUGGGAAUAGUCAGGUUAAAAUUGAGGAGCUUUAUCAUACUUAAAUCUCUGGUACACCUUCAUUUUUAUGUCCACUUCUGCAUGGAUGAAGAACAUAAGGUAUGCUGUACAAAAGACAGAUACCAAUAAUGCUGAGGUUUGGUAACCAGUUUGUCUUCUCCUAUGCUCUUCUGAAAAAGAAUAAAGAAAAGGAAAAUCAAGAAUAAGACCCACAAUUUAAGAGUGAUAGGAGACUUGACUUCAUCCACUUAUAAACACUGAAAUCCAGCUCCCUGAUGAUGAUUGGAUAAACCAAAUAUCCUGCAUACGUGAGGAAGAAAAGGAAUUACUAGUAUCAAAAAAAGCUGGUUAAGAGAAUCUAGGUUUGAGGUAUGAUGAAAGAAGUCCCACCAUGUGGGAAAGAAGUUCUACCAUUGUGUCCCACUAUGACUC
Long non-coding RNA from Oxyura jamaicensis (ruddy duck), 1278 nucleotides. RefSeq lists it as uncharacterized. The record is from RefSeq and is a predicted model, not a curated record. NCBI's taxonomy places the organism in Eukaryota, Metazoa, Chordata, Aves, Anseriformes, Anatidae. The transcript is spliced from 6 exons.